This 245-nucleotide ribosomal RNA is filed under the name uncultured Bdellovibrio sp. RNAcentral describes it as "partial 16S ribosomal RNA". It matches the Rfam family "Bacterial small subunit ribosomal RNA", at positions 524 to 768 of the family's 1533-position model. Lineage: Bacteria; Pseudomonadati; Bdellovibrionota; Bdellovibrionia; Bdellovibrionales; Pseudobdellovibrionaceae. The record is from RNAcentral.
GACGAGGGAUCCUAGCGUUGUUCGGAAUCAUUGGGCGUAAAGCGGGUGCAGGUGGCUAUGUAAGUCAGAUGUGAAAGCCCAGGGCUCAACCCUGGAAGUGCAUUUGAUACUGCGUAGCUUGAGUGCUGGAGAGGUUACUAGAAUUCUUGGUGUAGUGGUGAAAUACGUAGAUAUCAAGAGGAAUACCGGUGGCGAAGGCGGGUAACUGGCCAGACACUGACACUCAGACCCGAAAGCGUGGGGAU